Molecule: long non-coding RNA, 278 nt
Filed under: Lathyrus oleraceus (garden pea)
Lineage: Eukaryota; Viridiplantae; Streptophyta; Magnoliopsida; Fabales; Fabaceae
Description: Pisum sativum (pea) long non-coding RNA (PSAT_LNC015809)
Source: RNAcentral
AAAAAUCUAAGCAAAGGCGAUGCACUAGAGAUUGAAUAUGUGUAAUUUAUAUUCUUGAAAUGUUGAUAGGAAGUCUAGUAAAUCCACUAGAGAGAAGGAAGGCAAUUAUGUUGAAAGACUUGUAUUCAUAUUCAAGCAGGUGGAAUUAAUAUCCCUUAACAAUUUUAAUGUUUUUUUAUAAAAGACUUAUGCCCAUUUAAUUUCAACAAAAUCUAGCUAUUUAUAAUAUUUAUAAUGUAAUAUUUUGUUUAAUGAAAUUCGUGAAAGUUUGUUUUAUC